RNAcentral lists this transfer RNA (86 nucleotides) under bacterium. RNAcentral describes it as "tRNA-Leu". It matches the Rfam family "tRNA". Rfam says of the family: Transfer RNA (tRNA) molecules are approximately 80 nucleotides in length. Their secondary structure includes four short double-helical elements and three loops (D, anti-codon, and T loops). The record is from RNAcentral.
GGGCGAGUGGUGGAAUUGGCAGACACGUACGGUUCAGGGCCGUAUGCCCUUAGGGCUUGAGGGUUCAAAUCCCUCCUCGCCCACAA